RNAcentral lists this ribosomal RNA (305 nucleotides) under uncultured bacterium. Its description in RNAcentral is "bacterial SSU rRNA". It matches the Rfam family "Bacterial small subunit ribosomal RNA", at positions 338 to 660 of the family's 1533-position model. The record is from RNAcentral.
CCUACGGGGGGCAGCAGUGGGGAAUAUUGCACAAUGGGGGAAACCCUGAUGCAGCGACGCCGCGUGAGUGAAGAAGUAUUUCGGUAUGUAAAGCUCUAUCAGCAGGGAAGAUAAUGACGGUACCUGACUAAGAAGCCCCGGCUAACUACGUGCCAGCAGCCGCGGUAAUACGUAGGGGGCAAGCGUUAUCCGGAUUUACUGGGUGUAAAGGGAGCGUAGGUGGCAGGGCAAGUCAGAUGUGAAAACCUAGGGCUCAACCGUAGGACUGCACCUGAAACUGUAAUGCUAGAGGGCAGGGGAGGAAA